UCUCCGUAGGUGAACCUGCGGAGGGAUCAUUACAGAGUUCAUGCCCUACCGGGUAGAUCUCCCACCCUAUGUUAUUAUUACUUUGUUGCUUUGGCGGGCCGUUAGGCUCCGUCCCGACUACCGGCCCCGGCUGGUAAGCGCCCGCCAGAGGACCCAAAACCCUGAAUAUUAGUGUCGUCCGAGUACUAUAUAAUAGUUAAAACUUUCAACAACGGAUCUCUUGGUUCUG
This 229-nucleotide unclassified non-coding RNA is filed under the name plant metagenome. RNAcentral's name for it is "partial contains small subunit ribosomal RNA, internal transcribed spacer 1, and 5.8S ribosomal RNA". The record is from RNAcentral.